Molecule: ribosomal RNA, 375 nt
Filed under: uncultured organism
Description: bacterial SSU rRNA
Rfam family: Bacterial small subunit ribosomal RNA
Source: RNAcentral
GGUAGGGGGCAAGCGUUGUCCGGAUUUAGUUGGGCGUAAAGCGCGCGUAGGCGGCAAGGUAUGUCGUGCGUGAAAUCUCCCGGCUUAACUGGGGAGGGGCCGUGCGAAACUGCCUGGCUUGAGGUCGGAAGGGGAAAGUGGAAUUCCGGGUGUAGUGGUGGAAUACGUAGAUAUCCGGAGGAACACCAGCGGCGAAGGCGGCUUUCUGGUCCGAUUCUGACGCUGAGGCGCGAAAGCGUGGGGGAGCGAUCCGGAUUAGAUACCCGGGUAGUCCACGCCGUAAACGAUGAGUACUAGGUGUCGGGGGUAUCGACCCCCUCGGUGCCGUCGCUAACGCAUUAAGUACUCCGCCUGGGGACUACGGCCGCAAGGCUA